Callithrix jacchus (white-tufted-ear marmoset) is the source of this 2485-nucleotide long non-coding RNA. Lineage: Eukaryota; Metazoa; Chordata; Mammalia; Primates; Cebidae. The record is from Ensembl.
GAUAUGGAUGUUCCUUUUUCUCCAGGCAUAAGGAAAGUGCCUCUGAAAUAAAGAUUUUAUGACUUGCUUCAGGAGAGAAGAGCAGCAGGAAGGUGAAAGUGACCUUUCUGCAUCUGUUGUUCCUCAAAUGCCCCCGUACCAUAUUUUGGUGUAACAUGUCCUGAACCCCAUCACACUGUCUCCAGUUCUGGGAUAUUACAAAUAAGGUUGUUAAAGGUUAUGUCGAAAGGACUCAGGUGUCAUUGAAGAGGCUGCCACUGGGCAGUUAUGAUACAACUCAAACUCCAAAAGUGGUAACAUAUGCCAGCAGCAAAGAAGUGAACCUGAGACAAGAAAAAAGCAAAAACCGGUAAAGGAGGUGUGGCCACUGAGCUUCCUCUGUGGACAGCUGGAACUUAACCCUACUGCAAACGCUGCCAACCAAUAUGAACAGUCAUCAGAAUUAGACCACCAAAGGGCAAAGGAGCUAAGAAAUCUACCCACCAACCUCGUGAUAUAGUUACUGAGGGCUGCUCUCAGAAGGGAACAUUUAUCCCAGAGCUCUUUAGACUUUCUUAUUUGUGCAGCAGGCACCCAUGGCCAGAGAGAAUCCUUACACAGAGUUAGUUGUAAGCACUGUGAAUUGGAAUCUGGACAAAAAUGCUUGGAAAUGUGUGAUGUGGGGAUCUUGGUGGGGCAGAGACAGUAGCUGUUACAUUACCCUCCUUUCUUAUUUGGAAAUUGAGACAUGCCAUUGUAUACAGUGAGGAUCAUUUAUUCAUUAAACUAGUGUCUACUAAUUAUGGGCUAUGUGCCCCUCCUCUGAGUUAAGGUCUGGAAAUAAAGUGGAGAUGAAGGGCAAAGAAAUAUUUUUUCUCCAUUUAACUUAUAGUCUAGUAGGCAAGAAAAACAAAAAUUGCAAAAGGAAGUAUUACUUUGCAAAUUUGAUAAGUGCUAGGAAUAAGUAGGUAUUUUUAUGAAAGCAUGUUUGUUCUUUUUUUUUGACAGGCUCUCACUCCUGUCCUGCAGGCUGGUGUGCAGUGGUUCGAUCCCAGCUCACUGCAGCCUUUACUUCCUGGGCUCAGGUGAUCCUUGCUCCUCAGCCUCCUGACCCAGGUGAUUCUCCUUUCUCAGCCUUCCAAGUAGCUGGGAUUACAGGUAUGUACCACCACACCCAGCUAAUUCUUAUAGUCAGGAUGGGGUUUCAGCAUCUUGACCAGGCUGGUUUCAAACUCCUGAACUCAGGUCAUCCGUCUGCCUUGGCCUCCCAAAGUGCUGGGAUUACAGGAGUGACCCACUGUAUUGUAUGUGUUGUUAUAUAGUAACACAACAUCACAUGUUUUAAUCUUACCAUAGAACCUUAACGAAACACUGAAGCUGUUUUUAUUUCCAAUUCUAACUUGAAUUAAGUAAAACACAUAAAUUUAAUUGAAUUGGUAGAGUCAAAAAAAGUAACCAGUGACAUAAUUCAGAUUUGAACUUCAUUCAUGAUGAGUCUACAUUCGGUGUUGUUUCAAUGUGACUGAACUAUCAGCACUUCAGUAAGACUAUAUUAAGGAGUCCAUUCAUUUUAACCAUGGCCAAUGAUUUACUUAUAAUUUUAUAUAAAUAAUAUUACAGAGUUGGUGAGUUACUGAGUAAUUCCAACAAUUAUGCAGUUCUAAGUCUCCAGAACAAUCUGACUGUACAUACUUUGUGAGAAAUUUCACAUUUUAUCUGCUGCACUUAAAGUACAACUGGUUCAUUUGUAUAUGAAUGCAGGAAAAAGUACCUUUAUUUAGAUUUUUUAAAUAAUAGACACACUUAAGGUGCCCUCUAUUUUAGCUUUUUAAAGUUUUGAUGGAAACCUUCUCUUAUUGCAAUCCAAGUAUUAAAAAUUUGUUCUGAAUUAUGAGAAUGAAUAUAGAAAUUCACCUAUUGCUUACUGAACCAUGGCAAGAAAAAGUAUAUUAGUCUUUCAUCUUCUUGGUAGAUAUUGUUAUGAGGUUAUUACAAAAUUAUAUUAAUUUAUGACAUAAUAAAAUCAAAGUUUAGAGAGUUUAGUUGACUUAUACGUGUGUGUGUGUGUGUGUGUGUGUGUGUGUGUGUGUGAAUGGGCCUUAUGAAAAUUUCUAUGUCACAAAUCUAGAGUCCUUUAAAUUCUACCUUAUAAAUAAUUACAUGAUGACAAUUGUAUAUCGUCUAAGUUAUAUGAUAUCAGGCAUCAAAGAGAAGUGGUUCUCCUGGAAAAAUAAUAAUUAAAAAAUUGUCAAACAAGUAUCUUGACUUCUGGAUGCAAGCACUGUAACUGAAUUUUACAGUCUGAGUUGAUACGACAUUUGUCUUUAUUGAGUUGUGAUUUUCACUUCAGUACAAUAAAAAUGUAUUACCUUUUCUAUAACUUUUGCCCAGGGUAAUCUUGCUUUCAACAUGUUUCUUAGUUGCCUAGUGAAAUAGUCACAUUAUUCUCUACUUCGUAAUUAACACUUAUUGUAGCUUUUUGGUCCUUUUUCUUUAAAAAAAAUGG